AAUUAUUAUUAUUAUUAUUAUUAUUAUUAUUAUUAUUAUUAUUAUUAUUAUUAUUAUUAUUACUACCAGCACUGUUAUCUCAGCCCUCUGAGGGCACCCUCUUGAUGCAGCCCUUGUGUUUUGGGGCACCUCUUUUAUCUGUGUGAUUUGAUCUCUGUGAUUUGCUACAGCCCCUCUGACAUCUGAGCUCCACCUUUGGAGAGGAGAUAACACAAACUGGGAGAUAGAUAACACAAUCGGAGAUACAAUCGGAGAUACAAUCGGAAAUACAAUCGGAAAUACAAUCGGAAAUACAAUCGGAAAUACACACAAACUCGGAAACACACACAAAUCGAAGAGAACACACAAACUUGGAUAUACACACAAACUUUCAGUGCAAAUUUUCUUCCUGCAAAGACAUUUUCCUCUUGCUCCUCUUCCUAAAAGUGAACCUUGCACUUCUCCCCACCAGCCAAGCGCUUCAUGCCAGUUAGGAAUGGACUUUCCUUUUCCCUAGAUAAUGACCGAUCUUGCAGAUUGGAUAAUGAAAUAAGUAAUGCCAUUAGCAGCCCAUUAAUCAGCGGAGAGCAGUGAAUGGCUCUCAACUGCUCCUGAAGGACAAGGGAAGAACUCCUAGAAAUGGGGGAGCCACCCAAAAUCCAGCCCCUGCUCCCCACGUUUCUUUUGAACUUCGGGAUGGCCAAGCAUCAGUUCUUUGUCUGGGGGAUCCAGCCUGUUCAGAUCAGGUAUCUGUGCUCGGGAGAUUCCCUGCACAUCCUGGAUCCUGCUGAAUUCCCUGAGCAGGAAAUCACUUCCUUCAUCUCUGUCCCUGCCUCGUGCGGGAUGUGACAAAAGAGGGAGGAAUCCAGGAGGGUCCUUCCCUGCAGCGUCAUUAACGGUGGAGGAGCACGGGAGCAGGACCUGUCCCCAUCCCAGGACCUGUCACCAUCCCAGGACCUGUCACCAGGACCUGUCCCCAUCACAGGACCUGUCACCAUCCCAGGACCUGUCACCAUCCCAGGACCUGUCACCAGGACCUGUCCCCAUCCCAGGACCUGUCCCCAUCCAGGACCUGUCCCCAUCCCAGGACCUGUCCCCAUCCCAGGACCUGUCCCCAUCCCAGGACCUGUCACCAUCACAGGACCUGUCCCCAUCACAGGACCUGUCCCCAUCCCAGGACCUGUCACCAUCCUCAGGACCUGUCACCAUCUCAGGACCUGUCCCCAUCACAGAACCUGUCACCAUCCCAGGUCCUGUCAAACACAGGCACAGGGCAAAGGCGGGGCUGGCCCCAAACCAAAGCUUUCUCUUCUCUCCACUGGCAGAUAACCAGCUCUGCUUUAAGAGGAGAAAGCCAGCUCCAAGGAAAAAGAAAGGUUUAUUAUUAGCCCAAAGGCCACAGCUGACAUGAAAGGGAGCAGCUGCUCCGGACUUCACCUCUGGAGAAGGGGCUGGAGCAGCAGGGGAACAUCCUGAACAUCCCUGGGACACAGCACAGAGCUCACACGCCUCAUCCCACAGCGAAAAACACGCAGCAAAGGGAGCUUUCCUCCAUGUGCAGUGAAUAAUUCACCCAGGGCAAGGCAGCAGCAGCAGAACACGAGGGAAACCCCCCAAGACAAGCGGGAGCUGGGAGGUGACUCCACUGCCAGGGAGAAGCUUGGCUCAAGCCUUUCUUCCCAGGGGAGCAGGCAGCACAUCCCAGCUCCUGCCGGAUCCUCACCCUCAGGGGUUAACCCCAGGGCUGGGGACCAGCACAACCUUUGGUUGUGAAAACAUCGAGCAGAAAACCAACUCUGGCUCUGAGACAGCCGGGAGCAAUCCAGGGUGUCAGAAUCGCUCCUCUGCCUGCAGAUACAGAUACACCACACAGGGAUUUGUACACACCUGACUGUAUCUGUGUGUGUGCUGUGGGAAAUACAUACAUUCAGUAUUAAUAAAAAGUAUAAAUGUACAAACA
RNAcentral lists this long non-coding RNA (1939 nucleotides) under Cyanistes caeruleus (blue tit). Its description in RNAcentral is "lncRNA (ENSCCEG00000001889.1)". Lineage: Eukaryota; Metazoa; Chordata; Aves; Passeriformes; Paridae. The record is from RNAcentral.